AGUAACCUGUGACUUGAAAAACACCUAAUUCCCAUGUUACAUUUCUUGCAAUCUUACCUGAUAGAAAGUUAGAGGUUGAGACUUUGUUACCUGUGACAUUUCUCCCCCAAACACGAACUGUAAGAAAGUCACCUGUAAAUUUCUUACAUUUUACACAAGUUACAGGCAUCCAAACGGCCCCUAAGUGACUUCCCGUAAGUCAUUUCCCACUAACCCAACUUACAGGCAUCCACAGCCCCACAUCGAUUCUCAGGCGUAGUAUCAGCAUUUCGGGUAUCCAAGAGCUUCGGAAGAACCGGCAAUGAUGUCCCAAGCAGCAGAAUCGGAAGCAGUGGCAGCAACCCUUUUGGUGCGGCAUCUCCCAGAAGCGAUUCCUCACGAUACUCUCUCUCGACUCUUCUCUCACUAUGGAGCUUCCUACGUCCGCCCUUGCGCUGGUGGAAGGUUGAGAAAUUGUGCCUUUGUGGAUUUCAAGGAUGAAGCUUUGGCUUCUCAAGCACAAUCACAACUAAAUAGGUUGAGAUUUCUUGGGAAAGUGCUAUCAGUUGAGAGAGCAGGUAGGGCCGGAUCAAAUAAUAAGAAUCAACAAGGCGACGGACAAUUUGGAAAGGACUCAAGUUUUCCACCAGCAUCAUUGCUAAAGGAUGGUCAGGUAGCUGGCUAUCUUGCUAAAGGAACCAAUGCAGGUUCAGUACCCACUUGUGAACCCAUAGCAGCAAAGCUUGGCGUGGACUACCCAUUUCCUCUUCAUCUUGAGUAUGCAUAUCCACCUCCAGAUGGGAAUAUUCUGACUAAUAUUGUGAAUGCCCUCAUAGCCGUUCCUCGCUUUUAUACACAGGUUUUGCAUUUGAUGAACAAAAUGAAUAUUCCGGCUCCAUUCCGCAUGGCACUGCCCACUCCACCUUUACCGCCUUCAGAGCCUGCUCUGCCUCCACCACCACCUCCUCUCCCGACGAUACCUGCACAGCCCCAUUUGGCAGAUCUAUCAAGUGAUGAGUCAGAAAUGGAGUCUUCUGAAGAAGAUGAUGCUGAUGAGAAAAACUACCAUAGUAGAAAGCGCACUAAAAGAGAAGCCAUUGUGGGCCCUGCAGUUGAUAAGGCUGUGGCACAUGAAGCCGUUGGACUAAAGCCUGCCACCUUGGUUCCUAAAGAGAUUCCAGUGAUAAAAAAGAAAAACUCUGUCCUACAGAUCAGAAUUGCUCCAAAGCCAAUCCAAAAUGAAGUGACAGAUGAUGACAGUAGCAUGAAAGAACAAACUGAGCCAGCAAAUGAGGGAUUGGAACUGAAACCUUUUGUGACACCAGAAGAGAUAGAGAAUGGGAAGUUGCCUCCAGAGGAAAUUUUAUCACUUCCGAUGUUUAAGAAUUAUACUGCUGGAAAUCCUUCUACUGUUCUGUACAUCAAGAACUUGGCAAAAGAUGUUGUUGCUGAUGACUUCUACUUCAUGUUUGGCUCGCUUUUUGGUAGUGUUGAGACAGCUAAAUCGGGUCUGAGCAUAAAGUUGAUGCAGGAGGGACGAAUGAGGGGUCAAGCUUUUGUGACAUUUCCAUCAGUAGAACUCGCCCUUCAUGCUUUGAAUCUAGUGAAUGGGUAUGUUUUCAAAGGUAAACCAGUGAUCAUCCAGUUUGGUCGUAAUCCUGCGGCUGGCAAAACAAGCUGAAGGGACCCACCGUGAGAGGGGAGAAUUCUUUAAGUGGUGGACUUCUUUGCAAUUUUGGAUGUAGAUACGCGUGUAUAUAAUCACACUGUUUGAUGACUGAAGCUAUGCCAGAGCUGUUGUAAAGAAGCCUACUUCAUCACUUCAUCAGGUCUGGUGUCAUGAAUUUUGUUUAGGUGGAGCAGGACUGAAGCUUGAAGAAACUUUUCAAAGACUUAUCAGCUACCCCAUUGGAGAUCUCCCUCAAAAAAAAUCAGCAUUGUGACAUCCAGCUGAAUGGCAUGCAUAUUUCGAUAGAUGACCAAUGUUGUGAGAAUAGCAAUCAAAUUCUUAUUGGAAUGUGGUCAAGAUCUUGGAUUUUCAUCAUGUAAUGAGCCAGAUCUUGCAAACAAUGCCCCAUUACCAAUUGUGGAGAUAGGAGGAUUCAGAUCGCACCUUGUUAGAUACAGCCAAAGUUACAAAUGUAGUUAUUGUUACUCAGUUUGAUUCUCAAGUUGCUUGAACAGGUCGAACACGGCACUGCAUUCAUUCUUA
Magnolia sinica is the source of this 2191-nucleotide RNA transcript. It is a transcript of the gene named U11/U12 small nuclear ribonucleoprotein 65 kDa protein, with no coding region annotated. The transcript is spliced from 13 exons. Lineage: Eukaryota; Viridiplantae; Streptophyta; Magnoliopsida; Magnoliales; Magnoliaceae. The record is from RefSeq and is a predicted model, not a curated record.